AGGAAUGUAGCUCAGUGGUAGAGCACUUGCUUACCACCUGCAAGACCUUGGGUUCCAUCCCCAGCACUGCAA
This 72-nucleotide transfer RNA is filed under the name Heterocephalus glaber (naked mole-rat). It matches the Rfam family "tRNA". From Rfam's summary of the family: Transfer RNA (tRNA) molecules are approximately 80 nucleotides in length. Their secondary structure includes four short double-helical elements and three loops (D, anti-codon, and T loops). Further hydrogen bonds mediate the characteristic L-shaped molecular structure. tRNAs have two regions of fundamental functional importance: the anti-codon, which is responsible for specific mRNA codon recognition, and the 3' end, to which the tRNAs corresponding amino acid is attached (by aminoacyl-tRNA synthetases). tRNAs cope with the degeneracy of the genetic code in two manners: having more than one tRNA (with a specific anti-codon) for a particular amino acid; and 'wobble' base-pairing, i.e. permitting non-standard base-pairing at the 3rd anti-codon position. Lineage: Eukaryota; Metazoa; Chordata; Mammalia; Rodentia; Bathyergidae. The record is from Rfam by way of RNAcentral.